Durio zibethinus is the source of this 1694-nucleotide non-coding RNA. The record is from RefSeq and is a predicted model, not a curated record. Lineage: Eukaryota; Viridiplantae; Streptophyta; Magnoliopsida; Malvales; Malvaceae.
GCUUUGCGGGGAGAAACAUCUCAUUGCAACAAAUUCCUCUUAUGUUUUCCUUCUUGCCGUCUGCUUCUUUCCGAUAAGAUUUAGCCUCCAGGACCUCCUUUCCGAGGAUUUUGUCUUCAGAACCGGUCGCAUCGGUCCACGAUCUUGUUUUUCAUAUCAGAUUUUUGUACGAUGAGAGGAUUGACGUUGUCGGAUCUAUGUUUUUAAAGGCCUUAAUAGGCAAGCAGUCGAAGAUUUGACAGGAUGUUUUAUCAACUUGAAGGGAUGGUCUCACCAGGGGCUGAGAUCUGGACGAGGGUAUUGUUCUUCAGAUGUACCGUGGUAAUUUAUAAGGCAUCUGAUGUUUUGAAAUAGCGAUGUGGGGUGGUUUGUUUUUGAAAGGAUGUGUAAGAUGUCAGGGCAAAAAGUCCUACUGAUAUUUAUUUGGAAGGGGGCUGAGUCCUGAUCUAUCUUUGUCAUCCCAGACCUUUGCCAUGACAGGUGCGCUUGCAUGGCAGGUCACCCAAGCUUAAUAAAAAUUCAACUUUUUUGGUGUUUUUGAGGGGAGUUCGCACGGGGGUUGCCCGGGUUCUCCCCUCUGCUGUGGUGUGGUGUCGUGUUUCCUGCUCUUUUUAGUCUCUUUCUUUUCCCUCUCGCUUUCCAUUAUUUGCAUCCACAAUUAGUCCCUUUGAUACUCUGCACAAUACGGGAUGGAUGCAUGAUCCGCAUCACCACCAACAUCGGAAUAAGCUUAUGAUCUCCAAGUCAUUGACUCUACUACUUGCAAAUCCCAAGGCCAAGUUCUUUAGGCCCUUGCAUGGGCUUCUGUUUACAUUGGGUUGAAGGUUGGAGUUUCGUUCACUAGCUAUAGAAGAUUUUGAUGAAGAUGUCACAGCAGUGAGCAUAUUUUGGAGGUAUUUGUGGAUUUACUAUUGCAAGCACGUUGCAUUUCUCUUCUGUUUGAUUAACAUUGGAAAUCAAGGUAUGUGGAGUUUUAAGUGUUCAUCUAGCUUGGUCAACUUUCAAGAUCUAUGUCGGGAAGAUCUAUGUCGGGAAGGUAUCUGAAGCCCUCGGGGGACAAGCAGUGGGAGCUCUGGAGGCCUCGAAAAUAUAAAUUCAUUGCAGCAGCAGCGCUGUACUGAGAUAAAAUGUUGAAGAGCUGCUGUUAUUUGUUGUCGAAGAUUUUGAUCAUACGAGUGUGGAUAUGACAGUUUGUUUUGCAGGUUGAAGGUGGAUUGAAGGCUGAAAGGUUUUAUGUUUUGAAUUUAGUUUUUGAUGGUGGAAUCUCAUGUUUCUAUAAAAAAAGUCAUUAAAAGUUUCCUUGCUUGUUUUUUUUUUUUUUUCUAAUAAAAUAUUUUAAAGCGCUGAUCAUGUUUGUAAAUUCUCGUGUCAGCCGCCAGUAUUUUUUGGAAUAUGUAGGAUAUAACUAUCAUUCAUAUUACUUUUUAUCUAAAUUGAAAACCUCAUAUAAAAAAAGCAAAAGAUGAAAGUGAAAUUAUAAGGUUUGCUUUUUUUUUUUGUUGUUUUACGAAAUUAUCUUACACGUUACUAUUUUUUUUUUUUAUGUUAGUAGGCAUUUAUUUUCAAAUUAGUUUUAAAUGAAAAGUCAGUUUCGUGGGUUUUUAAGACUUGAAGAUGAUGACUAAAAUGGAUUUUUUUUCUGAUCAAAAAAGUCUCCAUUUUGGACGUAAGAAAUGUGGUGAUGAGGGUUUUUG